AGAGGAGGAGGUUUCCCUGAUUCUGGGAGGACGGAGGGGGAGGACUAGCAGUUCAUCAGCAACUGCUCAUUUCCAGCCAAGCGCUCCUCGGGGACCCAGCACGGGUGGCUGGAUACGCUGCGCCCCCCGCCCCUCCAUUGCUCCCAAGGGAAAAUUAAUUUCUUGCUCUUUUCUCCAGGCCCCUCAGCAACUGGCGCCGCGCGACCUCCCAGCACGGGGCAGGGCACUAGUUUCUAGAAGGAUUUGCGGUUUAUCCUGCAGGCCACCUCCUUUCAAGACGGGCUUCUCUUAAGGAGCAGGGGAGAGAGGUGGGCCAGACAUAUGUGGUUGUGCUGAAUACCCCCAGCGGCCCCCAAACCUGUCCCAGUGGAACAUCUGGACUCAGACUUGAAGGAGUUUGCAUCUUCAAAGAAGACAAGAUCAGUCAAGAUCGUACCUCCUUUUUCUAUUCCUUCCUCGGGACGUGAGAAAGUGGGAGAAGCAGCUCGUUGAUCUCGGGUGGGAUGUUAGACUCCGAAGUCCUGUUUGUAUAAUUCAAAACCCACCACGAGAGCCCCUUUUCUCUGGACUUCCGCCAAAGAACACUCACGAAUCGUGUCCAAACCAAAGGAUCAAGAGAAAACGGGACCCCUGAACGUGGACAAGUCGUUUCCUCAAGCCUCCUGACAUCGAGUUUGUUGAGGCCUUCAGUGGUUGUCUGCACUUUCCCCCACCUCUCACCCAUGUUGUGUUUCAGACUCCAAAAGAGCCGGGCUGGGUAAUGUAGCCCAUUCACGUCUGGUGGUUGGCAGACCCACUAACUGUCUCUUGAGCUCCAUUCCCCCCACCUUCCACGGUAAAACAAUUUGAGCCAGGCCAAGGCCAGCAUUUCCCAUCAUCCCUUGCAGUCGGGUAUGGCCAAGGCCUCACCAGGGGAACAUGAGCGCAAGUCAUGUACGUAGCUCCCAGGUUGCCGGCUGAAAGGGGAUCCCCUUGUCCUGAGCUUUCUCUCUUUCCGUAUUCAGUGUGGAAUGGUAAUGACCAGCUUCCACCGUGCCCGUGAGGACAGCACCCUGGGUGAUGACAGAAGCACAAGACGGAAAGAAGCUGGGGCUUGGAUGAUCUCAAAGGAGCAGAACCAUCUACUUGGCCCCAGGACGUCUGCUCGGCUAUUAGGUGAAAAAGAAAUUUCUAUCCGGCCUGAGCCAUUAUGUUUUGGCUCUCUUUGCUACGGCUGCUUAAGCUGUAUGCUCACUAUUACAGCAAAUAGUGGCCAUAACUAUUCUCUUUACUCUCUUAAUAUCGCCUAAAGCAUACUGCUCUUUGGAGGACCUAGGUUGGAAGUGAAUAUCUUGACUUCUGGCCCUGCUUCAUGUUCCCAUGCCGAUGUUUGUGGACACUGACCUUUUGUUCCAAUGCCCGUGUGCCCUAUGAUCACUGACCAUAUCUUUCUGAAUCAAAUACUGAGAUACAGAUGUGUCUGCAGAAACGAUGAGGGUGACACAGUUCUGAGCCAGGCAUCUGCCGUCCUCCAAGUGCCCAUCUGAAUCGUCAGGCUACCUCAGGGUGGCACUCGGGCCGUCUCAUCUCUCUGACCCUCAGUGGACUCUGCUGUAACCGGUAGAUGAGGGUAGUGCCUACCACGAGGAGUCACGGCAAGGAUUCAGUCAAAACUGUAGACUGAGGCGCGUCCGGGUGGCUGAGUCAGCUGAGCGUCCGACUUGGGCUCGGGUCACGAUCUCGUGGCUCACGAAUGCGGGAGCCGGAGCCCUGCCUUAGGCUCCCUGCUGUCAGCGUGGAGCCCACUCCGGAUCCUCUCUCUGUCCCUCGCUCUCUGCCCCUCCCCCACUAGCGUCUGCACACACACACACACACACACACACUCUCUC
Acinonyx jubatus (cheetah) is the source of this 1868-nucleotide long non-coding RNA. RefSeq lists it as uncharacterized. The transcript has 2 exons. Lineage: Eukaryota; Metazoa; Chordata; Mammalia; Carnivora; Felidae. The record is from RefSeq and is a predicted model, not a curated record.